GACCGCGUAGCUCAGUUGGCAGAGCAUUGGGCUAGCAUUCUAAAUGUCGUAGGUUCGAUUCCCACCGUGGUCA
This 73-nucleotide transfer RNA is filed under the name Paramuricea clavata. It matches the Rfam family "tRNA". From Rfam's summary of the family: Transfer RNA (tRNA) molecules are approximately 80 nucleotides in length. Their secondary structure includes four short double-helical elements and three loops (D, anti-codon, and T loops). Further hydrogen bonds mediate the characteristic L-shaped molecular structure. tRNAs have two regions of fundamental functional importance: the anti-codon, which is responsible for specific mRNA codon recognition, and the 3' end, to which the tRNAs corresponding amino acid is attached (by aminoacyl-tRNA synthetases). tRNAs cope with the degeneracy of the genetic code in two manners: having more than one tRNA (with a specific anti-codon) for a particular amino acid; and 'wobble' base-pairing, i.e. permitting non-standard base-pairing at the 3rd anti-codon position. The record is from Rfam by way of RNAcentral. Lineage: Eukaryota; Metazoa; Cnidaria; Anthozoa; Malacalcyonacea; Plexauridae.